UUUUUUUUUUUUUUUUUUUUUUUUUUGUCUUUUCAUCUCUUUAGGGCCACACUUACAGCAUAUGGAAGUUCCCAGGCUAGAGGUCGAAUUGGAGCUGUAGCCACCAACCUACGCCACAGACAAAGCAACACACGAUCUGAGCUGUAUCUGUGACCUGCAUCAUAGCUAUUGGCAAUGCUGGAUCCUUAACCCACUGAGCGAGGACAGGGAUCAAACCCACGUCCUCGUGGAUGCUAGUCAAGUUUGUUAACCACUGAGCCAUGACGGGAACUCCCGUCUUUUGUCUCUUUAGGUAGGUUUAUUCCUAAGUAUUUUGUACUUUUUGAUGCAAUGGUAAAUGGGAUUAUUUGCCUAAUUUCUCUUUCUGAUUUUUGUUGUUCGUAUAUAGAAAUGCGAUUGACUUCUGUGUAUUAGUUUUGUAUCCCGUGACUUUGCCAAAUUCAUUGAUGAGCUCUAAGUUUUCUGGUAACAUCUUUAGGAUCUUCUAGGUCAUCUGCAAACAGUGAUAGUUUUACUUCUUCCUUUCCAAUUUGGAUUCUUUUUAUUUCUUUUACUUCUCUGAUUCCAUAGCUAGGACUUCUGAAACUGUAUGAAUAGAAGUUGUGAGAACAGAUGUCCUUGUCUUGUUCCUGAUCUGAGAGGGAAUUCUUUCAGCUUUUCAUAUUUUACCAUGUUGAGGUAGUUUCCCUCUAUGCCCACUUCCGGGUUGGUUUUUAUCAGAAAUGGGUGUUGGAUUUUGUCAAAAGCUUUUUCUGCAUCUAUUGAGAGGAUCCUAUGGUUUUUAUUCUUCAGUUUAUUAAUGUGUAUCACACUGAUUGAUUUGCAGACAUUGAAGCAUCCUUCAUCCCUGGGAUAGAUCCACUUGAUCAUAAUAUACUAUGCAGUUUGCUAGUAUUUUGUUGAGGAUUUUUGGGUUUAUGUUCAUCAGUGAUAUUGCCCCGUAAUUUGCUUUUCUAGAAUCUUUAGUUUUGGUAUUGGGGUGAUGGUGGCCUCAUAGAAUGAGUUUGGGAAUGUGAUAUUGCCUCGUAAUUUGCUUUUUUUUUCUAGAAUCUUUAGUUUUGGUAUUGGGGUGAUGGUGGCCUCAUAGAAUGAGUUUGGGAAUGUGAUAUUGCCCCGUAAUUUGCUUUUUUUUUUCUAGAAUCUUUAGUUUUGGUAUUGGGGUGAUGGUGGCCUCAUAGAAUGAGUUUGGGAAUGUGAUAUUGCCCUGUAAUUUGCUUUUUUUUUCUAGAAUCUUUAUUUUGGUAUUGGGGGGAUGGUGGCCUCAUAGAAUGAGUUUGGGAAUGUUACUUCCUCUGCAAUUUUUAAAAAUAGUUUCAGAAGGAUAGGUGUUAGCUCUUCUCUAAAUGUUUGAUAGAAUUCACCUAUGAAGCCAUCUGGUCCUGCACUUCUGUUUGUUGGAAGUUUUUUAAUCAUAGUUUCAAUUUAAGUACUUGUGAUAAGUUUGUUCUUUUCUUUUAUCUUGGUUUAAUCUUAGAAGAUGGUACUUUUCUAGGAAUUUGUCCAUUUCUUCUAGGUUGUCCAUUUUAUUGGCAUAAAAUUACUUAUAGUCUCUGAUCCUUUGUAUUUCUGUGAUGUCCAUUGUAACUUCCUUUUUCAUUUCUAAUUUUAUUGAGUUCUCUUUUUUUUUCUUGAUGAGUCUAGCUAAAGGUUUAUCAAUUCUCUUGAUCUUUUCAAAGAACCGUCUUUUAGUUUCAUUGAUCUUUUCUAUGAUUUUCUUCAUUUCUAUUUCAUUUAUUUCUGCUCUAAUCUUUAUGAUUUCUUUCCUUCUGCUAACUUUGGGCCUUGUCUGUUCUUCUCUCUCUGGUUGCUUUACAUGUAAAGUUAGGGUGUUUAUUUGAGCUUUUUCGUUUGUUUGUUUCCUGAGGUAGGUUUGUGUUGCUAUAAAUUUCCCUCUUAGAACUGCUUUUGCUGCAUCCCAUAGGUUUUGGAGUGUUGUGUCUUUGUUGUCAUUUGCUUCUAGGCAUUUUUAAAUUUCCUCUUUGAUUUUUUCAGUGAUCCAUUGGUUGUUUAGUAGCGUGUUGUUUAGUCUCCACGUGUUUGUGUGUUUUGCAGUUUUUUUCAUGUUGAUUUUCAGUCCUAUAGUGUUGUGGUCAGAAAAGGUGCUUGAUAUGAUUUCAAUUUUCUUAAAUUCACCAAGAAUUUAUUUGUGGCCCAGAAUGUGAUCAAUCCUAGAAGAAUGUUCCUUGUGCACUUGAGAAGAAUGUGUAUUUUGCUCCUUUUGGAUGGAAUGUUCUAUAAAUAUAUAUUAAGUCAUCUUGUCCAAUCCAUCAUUUAAGGCCUGUGUUUCCUGGUUGAUUUUCUGUCUGGAUGAUCUGUCCAUUGCUGUAAGUGGGGUGUUAACAUCCCCUGCUGUUAUUGUGUUCAUGUGAUUUUUGUCCUUUUAAGGUUUUAGCAGUUACCUUAUAUAUUGAGGUGAUCCUAUGUUGGUUGCAUAUAUAUUUACAAUUGCUAUAGCUUCCUUUUGGGUUGAUCCUGUAAUCGUUAUGUAAUGUCUAUCUUUACCUCAUAUUCUUUCAUUUUUUAAAAUUUUUUUAUUUUUUUGUGCACCCACAGCAUGUGGUAGUUCCCAGACUGGGGUCAAAUCAGAGCUACAGCUAUUGGCCUAUGCCAUGGUCACAGCAACGCAGGAUCUGAGCCAUGUCUUCAACCUCCAGCUCAUGGUAGGGUCGGAUCUCUGACCCAAUGAGUAUGGCCAAGGAUUGAACCCACAUCCUCAUAUAUACUUGUGGGAUUCAUUUACGCUGCCACCAUAAUGGGAAUUCCAUAGUAUUCUUUAUUUUAAGGUCUACUUUGUCUGAUAUGAGUAUUGCUACUCCAGCUUUCUUUUGAUUUCUGUUUGCAUGGAAUAUUUUCUUCCAUCCUCUCACUUUCAAUUUGUAUGUUUCCCUAGAACUGAAAUGUGUCUCUUGAAAACAGCGUAUAUAUGGGUCUUGUUUUUGUAUCCAUUCAGCCAAUGUAUGUCUUUUGGUUGGGGCAUUUAGUCCAUUUACAUUUAAGCUCAUUAUUGACAUGUAUGUUCUUACUGCCAGUUUAUGAACUGUUUUGGACUUGUUUUUGUUGGGUCUUUUUUCUUCCCUUUUUUGUUCUCUUGUGAUUUGAUGACUAUCUUUAGUAUUGUAUUUGGAUUGCUUUUUCUUAUUUGUGUGUGUAUCUAUUGUAGAUUUUUGGUUUGCAGUUACCCUGAAGUUUAGAUAUAGGAGUCUACAGAUAUACAAGAUUGUUUUAAAUUGUUGGUCUCUUAAUUGCAAGUGCAUGUCUGGUGUCCUUCAUUUGUACCCUCCUCUUCUCACGAUUUCUAUUUUUGGUAGUAUAUAUGUGUGUGGAUGAUUUCCUACCUUUAUUUAUAUGUAUGCCUUUACUGGUGAGCCUUUUCAUUUAUAGUAUUUUUGUUUCUAGUUGUGGCCUUUUCUUACCCACCUAGAAAAGUUUCUUUAGUAUUUGUUGCAAAGCUGGUUUAGUGAUGCUGAAUUCUCUUGGCUUUUGCUUGUCUGCAAAGCUUUUGGUUUCUCCUUCAAAUCUGAAUGAAAGCUUGCUGGGUAGAGCAAUCUUGGUUGGAGGUUUUUUCCUUUCAUCACUUUAAUUAUAUUAUGCCACUCCCUUCUGGCCUGCAGAGUUUCUGUUGAAAAAUCUGCCUUUAACCUUGUCUGGGUUCCCUUGUAUGUUAUUUGUUUCUUUUCCCUAGCUGCUUUCAAUAUUUUUCUCUGUCUUCAGUUUUGGUCAGUUUGAUUAAUAUGUGUCUUGGGGUGUUCCUUCAUGAGUUUGUUUGAUAUGGUACUCAUUGUGCUUCCUGGACUUGGGUGAGUGAUUCCUUUCCCAUGUUAGGAAAUUUUUCAACUAUUAUCUCUUUAGAUAUUUUUUCUGGCCCUUUCUCUUCUUCUGGCACCCUGGUAUGACGGUUGUUCAUGCAUUUAACAUUGUCCCAGAAUUUUCUUAGACUGUCUUCAUUUCUUUUCAAUUUUUUUUCUCUUUUCGGUUCUGCAUCAGUCAUUCCCACUAGUCUGUCCUCUACCUCGCACAUUCAUUCUUCUGCCUCCUGUAUUCUGCUGUUGGCUGCUUCUAAUAAAUUUUGUAUUUCAGUUAUUGUAUUUUGCAUCUCUGCUGCUUAAUCUUUAAAUCUCAUAUUUCUUUGCUCAGUGUUUCUAGUAAUUUAUCACUCUUUGCCUCCAGUUUAUUUCCAAGUUCUUUAAUCAUCUUUCCUACCAUCAAUGUAAAGUCUUUUUCAUGGAGGUGUGUAAUCUCCAGAUCACUUGGCUGUUUUUCUGGGGGGCUUUCUUGCUCCCUUAUCUGAUUCAUAAUUAUUUGUCUUUUCAUUUUGUAUAGAUUUUUGCAGACUAAUAGAGUUUUAGCCUCUCUUGCUUCUGUUGUCUGCCCUCAUUGUGGCUGAAGUUGUUACAGGGGUUUGAUGUAGGCUUCCUGAUGGGUGAGACUGGUGCCUGCCUACUGUAGGUGGAGCUUAUUCUAUCCAGUGUGUGAGGCUUUGUCUCUGGGUGAGAUUAGAGGCAGCUGUGUGCUUGGGGGCGGGGGGGCUUUAGGCAGCCUGUUUGCUGAUGGGUGGGGCAGUGAUCCCACUCAGAUUAUUGUUUGGUCUGGAGCUUCUCAGCCCUGAUGGGUGGGGCCAGAUUUUUCUAAUAUGGCCACCUCUAGAGGAGCACAGGCUGAUGAUUAUUCCUGAGAAUUUUGCCUCCAAUGUCCUUCCCGCACAGCGACCCAUAGUCACCCCCUGUUUUCACAGGAGAUCCUCUAAGAACUGCAGUCAGGUCUGACCCAGAUUCCUGUGGAGUCUGCUUUGCCCUGGGACCCAGUGUAUAUGUAGGCGUGUGUGUGCAUUUCAAGAAUGGAAUCUCCAGAGUUCCCUUUGUGGCUCAGGGGCAAUGAAUCUGACAACGAUCCAUGUGGAUGUGUGUUUGACCUCUGGCCUUGUUCAGUGUGUUGAGAAUAUGGUGUUGCUGUGAGCUAUGGUAUAGGUCACAGAUGCAGUUUGGCUCAUGCAUUACUGUAGCUGUGGUGUAGACUGACAGCUGCGAUUGCAAUUCAGCCCCAGGCCUGGAAACUUCCCUAUGCCUUGGGUGCAACCCCCUCAAAAAAAAUAAAAGAAUGGAAUCUCCAUUUCCCCUCAGUCCCAUGGAACUCCUGCACAUAAGCCCUGCUGUCCCUCAAUGCCAAAUGCUCUGGGGGCUCCUUCUCCCAAUGCCAGAUCCCCAGGUGUGGGAACUUGAUGUGGGGCUCAGAACUCUUACUCCUGUAGGUGAGUCUCUGGAUACAGUUACUUUCCAGUCUGUGGGCUACUCACCCAGCAAGUAUGCAGUUGCUUAUAUUGCACAAUCACCCCUCCUACCAUCUUGAUAUGGCCUCCUCUUUGUCUUCUAGAGUAGGAUUUUUUUUUUUUUUUUUGUCUUUUUAGGGCUGCACUCAUGGCAUGUGGGGGUUCCCAGGCAAAGGGUCUAAUCGGAGCUACAGCUGCCAGCCUACGCCACAGCCACAGGAACGCCACUUCCGAGCCACAUCUGUGAACUACAGCAAUGCCAGAUCACAGCAAUGCCGGAUCCUUAACCCACUGAGCAAGGUCAGGGAUUGAAUCUACAUGCUCGUGGAUGCUAGUCAGAUUCAUUUCCGCUAAGCCACAAUGGGAACUCUAAAUGUCUUUUUUUGAUAGUUUGUAGUCUAUUAGGUUGAAGGUUGUUCAGAAGUUGGUUGUAAUUUUGUUGCUUUUAUGAGAGAAGGUGAGUUCUAGUCCUUCUACUCUGCCAUUAAUCCUGUCUGCAAGAACAGUUUUAGUAAUAAAUAGUAUUUAAUUUUUAGGCAGUCCAGUUUUUAAUUAAUUUAAUUGGAUUUGCUUUAAUUUGCACUAUGCGAAGCAGUUUUCUUUUAUACCACAUUACGGAAUGAACAUAUUUUAUGGGGCGCCAUGAAAUAUAAUUAGGUAGAAAAUGUUGAACUAGAUACCCGAGGCUUGAUAAGGUAGUACGCAAAUCACAAAAAAAAAACUUUUAAUGCCUAUUAUUGUUUCGGCUUCAUCCCUACAUGAUUGCCAUUCCAAACGCCAGCAUACAAUACAGAUUUUACCUUUCUUCAUUCUUCCUUCUGUGCAUGUUUUUGGCAAUAAUACUUUAGAAAAAACAAAAUUAUUUUCUUAGACUUAAAAAAUACUUAUUACUUAGUCUGUGUUUGUGGAAGGCCAAGUAUUCACAUGGACUAUAGAGAUAAAAUUUGGAUAGAGAAAUUAACUUUAUUAAUGACACUUCUUCCUGGUACUGUGUUAACGGCAUGCCAUUUAAUCUUCGAAAUGACCAGAUGAAGAAGGUAUAAUUAUUAUUCUGGAUGUAUAGAUGAGAUAACUGAGUAAGUGUUUCAAACUUGUGGCAGAAUCUUCAGAGUAUUCAGACACCUCUCCGUACUGCACUGGCCACAGAAGCUUCAAUUUUCCCAGCAAUCAUCACAGUGGUAGUCCCUAUCUUUUGCCAACCAUCAGGAAGCUUUCCUAGAAACCCAUUGCAGCUCAACAGGUUAAUCUAGCAUAGCAUCUGUGAGGAUGCAAGUUUUAUCCCUGGCCUAGCUCAUUGGGUUAAGGAUCUGGGGUGCUGCAAGCUGUAUAGGUCACAGGUAAGGCUCAGCUCUGCCAUGGCUGGGGCUGUGGCAUAGGCCCACCGCUGCAACUCUGACCCUAGCCCGGGAACUUCCACAUGCUGCAGGUUUGGCUGUAAAAAGAAAAAAUAAAAACAGGCAAAGUCCAAAACAAGAGACUAGCAGACCACAGCCAUUCUAUAAGGAUAUUAAUUUAUUCCAUCUACUAAUUUUAUUAAGCAUGUACUACGCCUGAGGCACUGUGGAAAUACUAUACAGCAAUGGUUCAAACAUGGUCUAGAUGUUUAGGUACUUAACCACCUUCCCCUCCACAAAAAAGCAUUAUUUUCUUACAUCAUAAAUCUCUUCUAUAGCAUCACAUAAGUAAUUCAUCUCUACAAUUUUUAUUCUUUAAACUUGAACUAUCCCAGUUUCAUUCUAUACCAGCCAACGUACCUAAUAUAUGGUAUGUUAAGGUAUGUUAUCUAAAAUUGUUAGAUAAUCGCCUAACAACCCAGUUAGUAAAAAGAGGAGUCUGAUCAUCAUUACCUGCAUUUAACUGACAAACUACUUCAGAUAAUAGGUCAUAUAAGUAAUCCAGGAUGGAAAAUAUUCAAGUGAUGUUUUAAUAAUUUUAUGGCUGUAUUAUUUUCUUCUGAAAAUUGGCCUUAUUGGAGAAGCAGUGCCAGAGGGAGGGAAAAAAAUGCCUGCCAAAGUAGAGAUUCUGACUUAGAGCACAUAAUAGAAGACUAGAUGGAAAUAGUCUGGCAGGAUAGUACAGAAAAGCUUAGGAAUUACCAGAUUAUUCAGAGCAGGAGUUUGUCAUGGGUAGAAAUUUAAAGGCUAAUAUCUCAAAGAAGAAAGUGUUCUAAAUAAAUGAGAUACAUGAUGAAGAUGCCUGUUUGAAAGUUGGAAGGUUUCUAGGAAUAACCUAGACCAGGAAAUUUAUGUUGGAAUAGAGAUUGACAGGUAAGUCUAAUCAUAAUUCAUAUAGGCUUAAACUGAAGGACAGCUCAGAUUCUGUUUUAGGGGAAGAAAAGAACAAAUUGUGUUUGUGCUCUGAAAGAAUUAAAACCUAUCCUAGAAUUUCCCUUCUCUUCACCUUCACUUAUUCUGAAAAAUUUCCUUUGUUAAUUGCUGAAUCAUGAUCAAAAUGUUCCCCUACUUCUUACCAUUAAAAUUUCUUGAAAAUCACUAAAUAAUAAAUCAGCUGAGCUCUAAAUAUUACUAGUUGGGAAGUAAUCUGCCUUGAGUCAGUUU
Molecule: long non-coding RNA, 7821 nt
Filed under: Sus scrofa (pig)
Lineage: Eukaryota; Metazoa; Chordata; Mammalia; Artiodactyla; Suidae
Description: lncRNA (ENSSSCG00040004247.1)
Source: RNAcentral